This 301-nucleotide ribosomal RNA is filed under the name uncultured bacterium. RNAcentral describes it as "partial 16S ribosomal RNA". It matches the Rfam family "Bacterial small subunit ribosomal RNA", at positions 509 to 807 of the family's 1533-position model. The record is from RNAcentral.
CAGUCGCCGCGGGAAUACGAAGGGGGCUAGCGUUGUUCGGAUUUACUGGGCGUAAAGCGCACGUAGGCGGAUCGAUCAGUCAGGGGUGAAAUCCCAGAGCUCAACUCUGGAACUGCCUUUGAUACUGUCGAUCUGGUGUAUGGAAGAGGUGAGUGGAAUUCCGAGUGUAGAGGUGAAAUUCGUAGAUAUUCGGAGGAACACCAGUGGCGAAGGCGGCUCACUGGUCCAUUACUGACGCUGAGGUGCGAAAGCGUGGGGAGCAAACAGGAUUAGAUACCCCCGUAGUCCCUGUCUCUUAUAC